GGCAGUGUAGCUCAGAGAUAGAGCUCUUGCCUAGUAUGCAUGAGGCUCUGGGUUUGAUCCUCAAAACUGCCA
RNAcentral lists this transfer RNA (72 nucleotides) under Marmota marmota marmota (Alpine marmot). It matches the Rfam family "tRNA". Rfam says of the family: Transfer RNA (tRNA) molecules are approximately 80 nucleotides in length. Their secondary structure includes four short double-helical elements and three loops (D, anti-codon, and T loops). Further hydrogen bonds mediate the characteristic L-shaped molecular structure. tRNAs have two regions of fundamental functional importance: the anti-codon, which is responsible for specific mRNA codon recognition, and the 3' end, to which the tRNAs corresponding amino acid is attached (by aminoacyl-tRNA synthetases). tRNAs cope with the degeneracy of the genetic code in two manners: having more than one tRNA (with a specific anti-codon) for a particular amino acid; and 'wobble' base-pairing, i.e. permitting non-standard base-pairing at the 3rd anti-codon position. The record is from Rfam by way of RNAcentral. RNAcentral also lists the same sequence under 1 other name. Lineage: Eukaryota; Metazoa; Chordata; Mammalia; Rodentia; Sciuridae.